This 428-nucleotide ribosomal RNA is filed under the name uncultured bacterium. RNAcentral describes it as "bacterial SSU rRNA". It matches the Rfam family "Bacterial small subunit ribosomal RNA", at positions 28 to 421 of the family's 1533-position model. The record is from RNAcentral.
GAUGAACGCUGGCGGCGUGCCUAACACAUGCAAGUCGAACGAGAAGUUUGUUUCUGAUUCCUUCGGGAUGAGGAAGCGGAUAGAAAGUGGCGAACGGGUGAGUAACGCGUGGGUAAUCUACCCUGUAAGUGGGGGAUAACCCUCCGAAAGGAGGGCUAAUACCGCAUAAUAUCUUCAUCUCAAAAGGGAAGAAGAUUAAAGGUGGCCUCUAUACUAUGCUAUCGCUUCAGGAUGAGCCUGCGUCCUAUUAGUUAGUUGGUGGGGUAAUGGCCUACCAAGACUACAAUGGGUAGCCGGUCUGAGAGGAUGUACGGCCACACUGGGACUGAGAUACGGCCCAGACUCCUACGGGAGGCAGCAGUGGGGAAUAUUGCGCAAUGGGGGAAACCCUGACGCAGCGACGCCGCGUGGAUGAUGAAGGCCCUUGG